RNAcentral lists this long non-coding RNA (294 nucleotides) under Salvia miltiorrhiza (redroot sage). Its description in RNAcentral is "long non-coding RNA (SMIL_LNC008519)". Lineage: Eukaryota; Viridiplantae; Streptophyta; Magnoliopsida; Lamiales; Lamiaceae. The record is from RNAcentral.
UCAGAGUUUACAUAACCAAAAGAUAUCACAUGAAAUAACAUAAUAUGUUUUAGGAAACAUUUAUUUUAAAUAGAUUCAACGCGCCCAUUCGACUCUCCACGCGCCUCCGAUAUCAAUCACCUGAAACUGUUGAAUAUGGGAUGAGCAUACAGGGUACACUCAGUGUGGGAACAUGCAAUAAUUGUCCAUGUUAAUAAAAUGGUAACACAUAUUGUCAUAACGUAACAUAACUUCCAUACGCACUGUGGCAACUCCAAGGACUUUAAUGUCCCGGACCCUAUAUAUGGAUCCCUG